RNAcentral lists this ribosomal RNA (407 nucleotides) under uncultured bacterium. Its description in RNAcentral is "bacterial SSU rRNA". It matches the Rfam family "Bacterial small subunit ribosomal RNA", at positions 8 to 413 of the family's 1533-position model. The record is from RNAcentral.
AGAGUUUGAUCAUGGCUCAGAUUGAACGCUGGCGGCAGGCUUAACACAUGCAAGUCGAACGGUAACAGAACUAGCUUGCUAGUUGCUGACGAGUGGCGGACGGGUGAGUAACGCGUAGGAAUCUACCGAAUAGUGGGGGACAACAGUUGGAAACGGCUGCUAAUACCGCAUACGCCCUACGGGGGAAAGGAGGGGAUCUUCGGACCUUUCGCUAUUUGAUGAGCCUGCGUGAGAUUAGUUAGUUGGUGGGGUAAUGGCUCACCAAGGCGACGAUCUCUAGCUGGUCUGAGAGGAUGAUCAGCCACACUGGGACUGAGACACGGCCCAGACUCCUACGGNAGNCANCAGUGGGGAAUAUUGCACAAUGGGGGAAACCCUGAUGCAGCCAUGCCGCGUGUGUGAAGAAG